This 253-nucleotide ribosomal RNA is filed under the name uncultured bacterium. RNAcentral describes it as "partial 16S ribosomal RNA". It matches the Rfam family "Bacterial small subunit ribosomal RNA", at positions 524 to 776 of the family's 1533-position model. The record is from RNAcentral.
GACGUAGGGGGCAAGCGUUGUCCGGAAUCAUUGGGCGUAAAGAGCGCGUAGGCGGCCCAGUAAGUCCGCUCUGAAAGUCAGGGGCUCAACCCCUGAAUGCGGGUGGAUACUGCUGGGCUAGAGUCCGGAAGAGGCGAGUGGAAUUCCUGGUGUAGCGGUGAAAUGCGCAGAUAUCAGGAGGAACACCGGUGGCGAAGGCGGAUCUCUGGGCCUUACCUGACGCUGAGGCGCGAAAGCUAGGGGAGCGAACAGG